CGUACACUCCUGCGGGAGGCAGCAGUGGGGAAUAUUGCACAAUGGGCGCAAGCCUGAUGCAGCGACGCCGCGUGGGGGAUGAAGGCCUUCGGGUUGUAAACUCCUUUCGCUAGGGACGAAGCUUUUUUGUGACGGUACCUAGAUAAGAAGCACCGGCUAACUACGUGCCAGCAGCCGCGGUAAUACGUAGGGUGCGAGCGUUGUCCGGAAUUACUGGGCGUAAAGGGCUCGUAGGUGGUUUGUCGCGUCGUCUGUGAAAUUCUGGGGCUUAACUCCGGGCGUGCAGGCGAUACGGGCAUAACUUGAGUGCUGUAGGGGUAACUGGAAUUCCUGGUGUAGCGGUGAAAUGCGCAGAUAUCAGGAGGAACACCGAUGGCGAAGGCAGGUUACUGGGCAGUUACUGACGCUGAGGAGCGAAAGCAUGGGUAGCGAACAGGAUUAGAAACCCCUGUAGUCCCAUGA
RNAcentral lists this ribosomal RNA (462 nucleotides) under uncultured organism. Its description in RNAcentral is "partial 16S ribosomal RNA". It matches the Rfam family "Bacterial small subunit ribosomal RNA", at positions 330 to 800 of the family's 1533-position model. The record is from RNAcentral.